UACGUAGGGACCAAGCGUUGUUCGGAUUUACUGGGCGUAAAGGGCGCGUAGGCGGCUUAACAAGUCACUUGUGAAAUCUCCGGGCUUAACUCGGAACGGCCAAGUGAAACUGUCAAGCUAGAGUGCGGAAGGGGCAAUCGGAAUUCUUGGUGUAGCGGUGAAAUGCGUAGAUAUCAAGCGGAACACCAGUGGCGAAGGCGAGUCCCUGGACAACUCCUGACACUGAGGCACGAAAGCUAGGGGAGCAAACAGG
This 253-nucleotide ribosomal RNA is filed under the name uncultured prokaryote. RNAcentral describes it as "partial 16S ribosomal RNA". It matches the Rfam family "Bacterial small subunit ribosomal RNA", at positions 524 to 776 of the family's 1533-position model. The record is from RNAcentral.